UGGGGAAUUUUGGACAAUGGGCGCAAGCCUGAUCCAGCCAUGCCGCGUGUCUGAAGAAGGCCUUCGGGUUGUAAAGGACUUUUGUCAGGGAAGAAAAGGCUGUUGCUAAUAUCGACAGCUGAUGACGGUACCUGAAGAAUAAGCACCGGCUAACUACGUGCCAGCAGCCGCGGUAAUACGUAGGGUGCGAGCGUUAAUCGGAAUUACUGGGCGUAAAGCGAGCGCAGACGGUUACUUAAGCAGGAUGUGAAAUCCCCGGGCUCAACCUGGGAACUGCGUUCUGAACUGGGUGACUAGAGUGUGUCAGAGGGAGGUAGAAUUCCACGUGUAGCAGUGAAAUGCGUAGAGAUGUGGAGGAAUACCGAUGGCGUAGGCAGCCUCCUGGGAUAACACUGACGUUCAUGCUCGAAAGCGUGGGUAGCAAACAGGAUUAGAUACCCUGGUAGUCCACGCCCUAAACGAUGUCAAUUAGCUGUUGGGCAACUUGAUUGCUUAGUAGCGUAGCUAACGCGUGAAAUUGACCGCCUGGGGAGUACGGUCGCAAGAUUA
Molecule: ribosomal RNA, 549 nt
Filed under: uncultured bacterium
Lineage: Bacteria
Description: bacterial SSU rRNA
Rfam family: Bacterial small subunit ribosomal RNA
Source: RNAcentral